RNAcentral lists this microRNA precursor (277 nucleotides) under Prunus persica (peach). Its description in RNAcentral is "miR6266a stem-loop (ppe-MIR6266a)". The record is from miRBase by way of RNAcentral. Lineage: Eukaryota; Viridiplantae; Streptophyta; Magnoliopsida; Rosales; Rosaceae.
UUUUUUUUGUUAAAUGCAGGGGCAAAAUGAUAUUUUUAUGUUAAAAACAAAAAAAAAAUGAAUAAAAAAUCAUAUCUUUAAAAUAACAAUGAAAGAAAAUCAAAUAAAAAACCAACCCAAAAAAAAAAAGAUAAAUUAAGUUUGGGGGAGUAGAAAUCGGGAUAGAAGGGGAGAGUGAGAGUUUAAUUUUAAUUUUUUAAUUUUUUAAUUUUUUAUGCAUAUUUUAAUCUAUUUUGAUACAAAAAUACAAUUUUGCCCCUGCAUUUAACAGAAAAGU